Molecule: ribosomal RNA, 253 nt
Filed under: uncultured bacterium
Lineage: Bacteria
Description: partial 16S ribosomal RNA
Rfam family: Bacterial small subunit ribosomal RNA
Source: RNAcentral
UACGUAGGGUGCGAGCGUUGUCCGGAAUUACUGGGCGUAAAGCGCGCGUAGGCGGCUUUGUAAGUUAGAGGUGAAAGCCUGGAGCUCAACUUCAGAAUUGCCUUUAAGACUGCAUCGCUUGAAUCCGGGAGAGGUGAGUGGAAUUCCGAGUGUAGAGGUGAAAUUCGUAGAUAUUCGGAAGAACACCAGUGGCGAAGGCGGCUCACUGGCCCGAUACUGACGCUGAGGCACGAAAGCGUGGGGAGCAAACAGG